This 521-nucleotide long non-coding RNA is filed under the name Dromaius novaehollandiae (emu). RNAcentral describes it as "lncRNA (ENSDNVG00000004132.1)". Lineage: Eukaryota; Metazoa; Chordata; Aves; Casuariiformes; Dromaiidae. The record is from RNAcentral.
UAAUUCUUUUUUUCCUGUUAUUUGCAUGAAAGCUGGAUUCAGGAGUUUUCAUUUCCUUCAUUCCCUUUUUCAUUCCCCUGUUGGCUGGGGAYCUCUGGAGACUGGUGGACUGCCGACUUCUCCUGGCUUGGGGGCUGCUCACUCUGCAACUUUUCCUUCCUUCGUGUUUCUGGAACGCUGCUCUUACAAGAGGGCAUUGCUACAUGUUGAGUUUGUCAGAGAUGCAAAGGGGACUAUCCCAGCUCAUCAGGGCAAGCACUGGGCUAGGUCUCCGGUUGUGCUUUUGUGGAGAGGAGCAUCAAGGCAACAAAGGUAAAACAGGAAUGUGUUAUAUUGAGGGGAGGGAGAUCCUGGUUUCUUUGAAUCAUUCAUUUGCACUGUUAUCCUCUAUUAAUAGCUACUGGGACACUGAUCCAAAGAUGGAUUUUUCUAGCCUAGCUUGGGUUGGGACCCUUGAAAGAAAUGGGCAUGAAACAGGAUGAAGAUGCUGCUCUUCCACCUGCCUCCCAGAGUAAACCAGG